RNAcentral lists this ribosomal RNA (433 nucleotides) under uncultured bacterium. RNAcentral's name for it is "partial 16S ribosomal RNA". It matches the Rfam family "Bacterial small subunit ribosomal RNA", at positions 29 to 507 of the family's 1533-position model. The record is from RNAcentral.
AACGAACGCUGGCGGCAUGCCUAACACAUGCAAGUCGAACGAGACCUUCGGGUCUAGUGGCGCACGGGUGCGUAACGCGUGGGAGCCUGCCCUUAGGUUCGGAAUAACUCCCCGAAAGGGGUGCUAAUACCGGAUAAUGUCUUCGGACCAAAGAUUUAUCGCCUUUGGAUGGGCCCGCGUUGGAUUAGCUAGUUGGUAGGGUAAAAGCCUACCAAGGCGACGAUCCAUAGCUGGUCUGAGAGGAUGAUCAGCCACACUGGGACUGAGACACGGCCCAGACUCCUACGGGAAGCAGCAGUGGGGAAUAUUGGACAAUGGGCGAAAGCCUGAUCCAGCAAUGCCGCGUGAGUGAUGAAGGCCUUAGGGUUGUAAAGCUCUUUUACCCGGGAUGAUAAUGACAGUACCGGGAGAAUAAGCUCCGGCUAACUCCGCG